RNAcentral lists this unclassified non-coding RNA (230 nucleotides) under Funneliformis mosseae. RNAcentral's name for it is "partial contains 5.8S ribosomal RNA and internal transcribed spacer 2". The stretch from base 1 to 71 matches the Rfam family "5.8S ribosomal RNA", at positions 84 to 154 of the family's 154-position model. Lineage: Eukaryota; Fungi; Glomeromycota; Glomeromycetes; Glomerales; Glomeraceae. The record is from RNAcentral.
GUGAAUCAUCAAAUCUUUGAACGCAAAUUGCACUCCCUGGUAUUCCGGGGAGUAUGCCUGUUUGAGGGUCGUUAGAACAAAAAUCGAAGCGUCGCUCUUUUUUUUAAGGGUGAUCGCGUCGGAAUUGAGCCGGCUUUCAAAUGGUAAUGCAUUGCAAAAUGGCUUUAAAUUCAUUCAUUCGGGACGAUUAAAGCGGAUUUAAAAUCAAUUUUGAUUAAAAAAGCGCGAUG